Molecule: long non-coding RNA, 4451 nt
Filed under: Octopus vulgaris (common octopus)
Lineage: Eukaryota; Metazoa; Mollusca; Cephalopoda; Octopoda; Octopodidae
Source: RNAcentral
UUUGUGUGUUUCUUAAAUGGUUUAAAAACACCUUCCACGCUGCAAUUGUUUUGGUUCCAGCACACGAUCUCAGAUCAAAUCACUUGCUAUGCAAGUACAUCUCCGUAAUAUUUUAUUAUUAUAAAUGAAUAUCUAUUCUACUUUAUCUAUUCUAAUUUAUUUGUAAAGUUUAUUCCGAUGUUUCACACUUGAAGUUGUCAAACUUUACACAUUGUUGUAUUUGCUAUUGCUGUUGCUGCUUUUGACGCCGUUGCUGUUACUAUUAUUGAGACUGUUGUUGCUGCUGUCGUUAUUCUGUCAGCUUCGAACGCGAAACCAUUUUUAUAUUGUGAAUUAUUUUAUUCACUACACAGAUAUAUUGUAUAUCAUAUGACUCCAUUUUCCAUCUUAAGCUGAAUUUCUCACUCAUGUAUCAGCUUUAAAAAUAAAAUAUCAUUAUUGUUAAGAUGUACCGAACGGGAGGUGAAUUGAAAAAAAAAACUGAAAAAGCAUAUGGCAAACUAUUCAGUACAUGGCCUUGUGGAACUCAGAACCUGUGAUAGCAGUUAGGCCAGGUGAAGAUUUAUAUAGAAUAUUUUAAGUUAUCUGCAUUGUUCAUAUAAACCCAUUCUGUGAGAAAGAUGAUGAACCCUUGGUUCAAACGUGAAAGUAUUAAAUUAUUUACAAUUGACGGAUAUUUGUCCUCAUCUUGUUUAUUGUUAACACAACGUUUCGGCUGAUAUACCCUCCAGCCUUCGUCAGGUGUCUUGAGGAAAUUUCGAACACGGGUUCUCAUUCCUAUGGUAUUUUUCGAUGUUGUUGUAUUCUCCUUGACUGAGAGAUCUUAAUUCCUAUAUCUAUAUGAGAAGCUGUUACUGAUUACUUUUGAUUAGAGAAAUUUGUUGAUAUGUUUCAAUUGAAUUUCGCUCAAGGUUAGAACUAUUAUAGCAGGUAUCACACUCUAUGUCUUUUUAAAAAGUUAAUGAUACAGCAGAUAAUCUAAUCCUAAAUACGUUUAUAUAAUGAAAUGCCGAUUUGACGGUCUCGACUAAAACAAUUUUCAGAAUAGACCAGUUGACUCAGAUUGGACCUAGGGUUAAACAUCAAUAACAACAUGAACUGGGAUUCUGUGCGUAUUAUAAAUUAAGUGGCAUACUGGUUUGAUUAAAUUUCUACUAUAAAUAUUAUUCUGCAAUACGAGUUUGUUUACAUGGUUUUGUAAUUCUAUAACCCGUCCAAUUUGCUUAAAACAAUUUGCUUAAAACAGGUUGUGCAGUGAUGCAUAUACUAUUUCAAGGUUGAUGCACUUUUCUUCGGUAUAUCACAACAGCAUUUAAUGGAAAUAAAAUCUAGAUGAAGAUAAAAUGAAGAUAAAACGCACGCAGUAUUGUAAAAUGAGCUUUUACUCACGGAAAAUUAUUGGUGAUGGAGAGUGUAGGCAACACCUCACCUAGGUGUUGCCUAGGGAAGGUAUUGCAACAAAUGAUAUGAAGGUUUCUUUGAGGGUUCGAGAACGGUCUGUACAUACUUAUUCUAAGGUUAGUGGUAUAUAAACCGUGGUAACAUUAGUAAACAGGUGGACAAUAAAUACAAAACAUCGGGCUACAAGAGACUACAAUGUUGGAAUGCCUUCCACAGUAUUAGAGCUACGGUGGAAGGUAUUCUGUCCGCGACCAUCCCGUCAUGGAUUCGCGACAUAGUUAAUGACAAGAAUGAAGGAUGUGUUUCCGUGUGUUGUAUAACGGUUGACUGAAAUUGGGAUGAAUUUAUUUUGUAGCCUGGGAAGGCGAUUGUAUGAGGGUAAGGAUAGGCGUUUCUAAAAUUUUUAGACAAUACAUUUUGUGAAUAGGUUUGGUCAGGGAAACUGAAAGCCCACUAGAUGUAUGUGUGUGUGUGUAUGUGUGUGUAUGUGUGUGUGUGUGUGUGUUUAUGUGCGUGCGUGUGUAAUAUACAUUUUUGUGUUGUAUUUAUCCCCAACCGCUUGAUAACUGCGGUUCGCCCGUUUACUUCCUCGUGACCUAGCGAGUCAGCUUAAGCAACUGAUAAAAUAAUUUGAAGUCUUAAAUGAAUAAGUACUGGGUGGAAUUUGUUUGACAAAUCCCUUUCAAAGCGGUACCCUAGCAUCUCUGCAGUCUAAUAGUUAAGAAAAUUGAAAGAUAACAACAAAAAAUGUAAAAAGGCUAAAUCUAAAAGACAAAAGGCACCACUCGAUAAGUGGUAAAGAGUUAAUAAGGAAACCUACUACAUACCAGGACCUGAUAAAGCUGAACAGUUUGGAAAUAAAUUUUUUAAAAUGGCAACAUUGGAUCAAGGGCGAGAGAAUGAUAUUUGAUUACAGCUCUGUAUCAACGCUUCGGCACAAGAAAGUAACUACUGCAAGUAAAGAAGUAAAAUAUAUUAAGUAGCAGCAACACGAGGUAGUAUCAAAACGUUCCGGGACUAGUUAUGUUUAAAAAAAAAUAUUUUAUAAACUUCUGUUUCAACAUCAUCGCAUUCUAAAUAGCCACCUUGCGCAGCAACACAUAAGUCCCAGCGUUCCAUCAACUUUUGGAAUCCGGCCUGGAAUUCGUUUUACGAAAGCGAGUCGAUGGUCUUCUGCGAUUCGCUCUGCACAUCGACAACGGAAUUAAAACGGUGACCUCUAAGCUGCUUUUUUAUUAUCUUGGGGAGGAGAUGAGAGUUCAUGGGUGCUAAAUCGGUCAAAUAGGGAGGGUGCAAAAAUGAUAUCAUAUUGUUUUUGGCGAGAAACUCAAGAGUGAGGAAAACUCGCUUCCAGGGUGCAUUGUCGGCAUGAAAAAUCCAAUUCCUCGCACUCCAAAGAUCUGUUUGUUUUCGCCGAAUUUACCCCACUCAAACGCUUCAAAAUAUCGCAGUAGAUCUCUCAAUUGACGGUCUAGCCCUAGGGGACAAAUUCUCGAUGCACAAUACGGUUAAUUUCGGAAAAAAAACAAUGAGUACGCUCUUUAUUGAGCUGCGGCUCUGUCGUGCCUUCUUCGGUCGCGGAGUGCAUUCUUCGGUUAGGAGUACUGCUUCAUACGCGUAGACCCAACUUUUGUCAACUGUGAAGAUCCUCGACAUUAAGGAUGAGUCAUCAGCGGUACGCUGACGGAGCUCUUGGCAAUCUUCGACCCGAAGUUCUUUUUGCUCAGUAGUCAGCAGGUAGGGUCAAAAUGGGUAGAGACACGCCGCAUGUUCCAUUCAGGCGUUAGGAUUGCCUGCACGAACCUAUACGACAGACCAACAACAUCAGCAAUGUCGUUGAUGAUCCUCAUGCACAAGCUAAUGAAUUUUCUCCACGUCCCGAGGUGACGGUCGCGGAAGGUUUUCCAGCGACGUUCUUCUGCCCUUGAAGUGCCCAUGACACUCCAAACAUGCAUACAACCCAUGGCCUAGUCGCUGUAAGUUUGCAGAAGCAUGUUCAAUAUAUUUGUAGCAGACGUCCGAAGCUUAAUGCAAAAUUUCCUUUUGGUUCUUUCUUCUAACUUCCUGUCGAUGACAAAAUCGCAGAGUUCAGCAUAAACGUGAUCACAAAAACGCAACUUUCGCAACUUCUAAAGUAAACACAGCAAUGUUACGCGGCACACUGCAUCAUAAAUGUCACUGCUAGCUCUCACUGCGCAAGCAACCGUGUUCUGCCAUCUGUUGGCUCGUUAUAGAACUAGUCCGAGAACGUUUUGAUAGAUUGAAUGUAAGAAACAGUAAGUACCAGUUACGCACUGGGGGUUCAUGUAAUCGACUUAAUCCCUUUGUCUGUCCUUGUUUGUUCCCUCUAUGUUUAGCCCCUUGUGGGCAAUAAAGAAAUAAGGAACAGUUGAUAAUUGUAUCUCAGCUAGCUCAUGCUAAGAAAUAAUGCAUCGACUGGCAAAGUGUGAGACUUCCAUAUAUGGACAUUCAUGCCAGCAUUAAGUAAUAACAACGAGAUAUAUGCUUUAUAGUUUUAUACGAGAAUCGGAUCACGUACAACAACAAAUCGACAAUACUUCGGGAUAUGUCAAUCGGUGUAAGAAAUCGUGCCAAGGAUCUUCAGUCAUACAUCGUUAUCAAGAGCCAUAACGAAAGAUAGAUCGUCAUAACUGAAGUAUCAGUCUUAACUAACAAUAACGGAUUUCUAAUACAGAUGGUAAAAUAUAAAAAUCACGAAAUAGAGAUAAUAAAAGGGUGGGAGUAAAAAUCAAGCAAUUCCCCACUAAUUAUUCUUCAAGAAGUUAGUAUAUAAAAAUAGAUAUAUGACGAGACAACAAGCGAAAUUAAUCCCAUACAAACGAAAUUAAUCCCAUACAAACGAAAUUAAUCCCAUACUGAGACAGUAGUCUCAGUCUAUAACUACAGAUAGAAAUAUCUAGGUGAGGAUGAAAGUGAUAAAAUAAAAGACAAGGAAAUGAAAGGGGAAAUUGUGAAAACGUAUAACAGAAGGGUGGUAUUAAUAUAAAAUAGUUAGUUCAUAGAUAACAAUACGAUAAUAAAUAACUGAU